CGGGGGCUCUCCUCUAGUUCCCA
This 23-nucleotide non-coding RNA is filed under the name Arabidopsis thaliana (thale cress). The record is from RNAcentral. Lineage: Eukaryota; Viridiplantae; Streptophyta; Magnoliopsida; Brassicales; Brassicaceae.